GACGAACGCUGGCGGCGUGCUUAACACAUGCAAGUCGAGCGGGGACAUGGAGGAGCUUGCUCUGAGAUGUUCUAGCGGCGGACGGGUGAGUAACGCGUGAGCAACCUUUCUCUCAGUGGGGAAUAACACAGGGAAACUUGUACUAAUACCGCAUGGGACCACGACCUGGCAUCUGGUUGGGGUGAAAGAUUUAUUGCUGAGAGGUGGGCUCGCGUCCGAUUAGGUAGUUGGUGAGGUAACGGCCCACCAAGCCGACGAUCGGUAGCCGACCUGAGAGGGUGAUCGGCCACAUUGGGACUGAGACACGGCCCAA
Molecule: ribosomal RNA, 313 nt
Filed under: uncultured bacterium
Lineage: Bacteria
Description: bacterial SSU rRNA
Rfam family: Bacterial small subunit ribosomal RNA
Source: RNAcentral